RNAcentral lists this non-coding RNA (93 nucleotides) under Ruminococcus flavefaciens. RNAcentral's name for it is "SAM riboswitch (S box leader)". It matches the Rfam family "SAM riboswitch aptamer (S box leader)". Rfam says of the family: The SAM riboswitch is found upstream of a number of genes which code for proteins involved in methionine or cysteine biosynthesis in Gram-positive bacteria. The SAM riboswitch acts at the level of transcription termination control. Lineage: Bacteria; Bacillati; Bacillota; Clostridia; Eubacteriales; Oscillospiraceae. The record is from RNAcentral.
CUUAUCAAGAGCGGCGGAGGAAUCAGGUCCUACGAUGCCCGGCAACCUGUUAAUCAAGGUGCUAAAUCCUGCGGAUUUAUCCGAAAGAUGAGG